CCCCCGCCGACCUGGAUCCAGUGGGAGCGGGAAGGGAGGCGCUAACCAUUCCCCUCCCAUUCCACCCCUCGCGGCCCCAAAUUCCGCGAGUCAGGUGACCCGGCCCCGGGCUCUGGCCGGGACCUGCGGGGGGUGCUCUCCGCCCUCCAGCCCCCGGCGCAUCUCCCCGGCCCGCGCGUCCCGGCUGUUCGUGGCUUGCUUUUAGUCUCCAGGGAUCGUGGGACCCUUCUCCGCGGAUCUGUUUCAUCCUCUUAACCUGAAGUUAGUGGAAGCCCCCCACGCUCUGACCCCUGGGUUUAGGACGGAUGAGAUCCCAGAUACUGUUUAUUUCUGAUUAACUUCCAAAGUCGUUUGUGGUAGUGGCGAGUGUUUCAAAGUCACGGAUCCAAGCCCCUUCUGACCAGAAUCUAAAAGGGAGUCAGCAGAGAUUUCUCCAAGGGUAAGAGGCUACUACAAUAUUCUUCUCAGUGAGGUUGGGCACCUGCCGAGGAAACGAGGCUAAGAUCUUUGGCAAUAAAUACAUUCCGAAGACCUGCAUCAGUGCCCUGCUUGCAGAGUGUGGCAGAGAAGCUAAGCAUCUCAAACUCGGCAUUACAGACCUGAGAAGGCUGUAAGACUCUCUGGUCCAUCAUCACACGGGAGGAAUAUAAAUCCUCAGAGCUGUGCUGGGCAGCAUGUUAGCUGCUAGCCACACAUGGCUGCUGGACACUUGAAAUGUUGCUAGUCUGAAUUGUGCUGUGCUGUAAAUGCAAUUCACACCAGAUUUCAAAGAGUGCAGAAACUGAGUUUCAAGUAGAUCCAGCAACUUGCCCAAGUCGUAAAACCAGAAAGAGUGGAGCCGAGAAUCAAAGCUUGGAUGCCUGACCAGAGUGGACCUUUGAAACACUCCUCUGUAUAUUGUCUUCAGGCUGCCUGUAUUUACAAACUCUGAUAUUGACCUCAUUACUUCUCCCCGUUCUGCAGGCAGAAGACUGCUAUGAGAGCACUUAGGACCCAAGCGACAUCAGCCUUGGAACAGGCAAAUAAAAAUGGAAAGCUAAUCUUGGUGGCCUUCUCUUCUUCAAAAGGACAUUUUUAAGAUCCAAAUAGCCAUCAGUAUGGCCAAGUUGGUUGUUCGGCUAUGCAUAUCAGAAAUUCCAUAAAAUAUUCUCCAAUUACGGUGCUGGAGGAGGGUAUUAUGAGGAGUUCAUGAACAUCAAGAAGGCAGUUAAUGGGUUAUCAGAAGACUAAGAGAAGUGGUUUCCACAAAGCACAGAGUCAGAAGCAAUAAUGUGGUGUUUGGAGCCACAAGUACACCAGGUGCAGCUUUUCUUGCUUCCUCUACAGUGGAUCACAAUCUUGGCAGCCCAUUUAGAAUCACCUGCUUUUAAAAGUCACCAACUGCCUUGGCCCCAUACCCUAGGAUACUUACUAAAGUGGUCUGGUGUGGGGCCCAAGCAUUGGUAUUUUACAGUCUUUCCCUAGAUCAUCAUUAAAUGGGGCCACUGCUUUAUUGGUUGUCCCAGCCAUGUCAGAGCAUCUGGCUCUUGACUUAGCAUUGCAAGCAGAGGGAAAUUAGGUAAAAAGGGUGGGGUGGUUCUUGCCAUGGACCUUGCAAAAGUUGAUGCUCCAGAAAGAUUUCUUGACAGAGUGAUUCUAAACUGAGUUGCUAUUUUUGUUGGUAUCUCUCUGGUACAUUUGUUUUCUAUUAUGGAGUUAAACCUGCCCUCUGAGAUUCCUGUUUUCUUCAUUGAGGUCAAUUUCUGCUUAUGAGAUAUUUUGUGUUCUUUCUUAUCCAAAUAGUGCACCGGUAGUAAAUCUGUGUACUACUUUUGCUGAUGAAUUAUUUCAAAUCUAUUAAUGGUUUCUUGUCUAUGUUUUUCUUUUCCUUUUUUUUUUUGAGAUGGAG
Molecule: long non-coding RNA, 1888 nt
Filed under: Homo sapiens (human)
Lineage: Eukaryota; Metazoa; Chordata; Mammalia; Primates; Hominidae
Description: HSALNT0325991
Source: RNAcentral